This is a long non-coding RNA of Sinocyclocheilus rhinocerous, 319 nucleotides long. RefSeq lists it as uncharacterized. NCBI's taxonomy places the organism in Eukaryota, Metazoa, Chordata, Actinopteri, Cypriniformes, Cyprinidae. The transcript has 3 exons. The record is from RefSeq and is a predicted model, not a curated record.
GAUCUGCUUUCUCUAUCAUGUGUUUGUAUAACAGAAAAGCCAGGAGUGUGUCCAAGCAGUAACCUAGGAGUGUGUGCUGAGUUGUGUUCCCAAGACGGUAACUGUCCGAAUGAUGAGAAAUGCUGCAGCAAUGGAUGUGGACAUCAGUGUAUGCCUCCAUAUAAAGAAAAGCCAGGAGUGUGUCCAAGCAGUAACCUAGGAGCGUGUGCUGAGAUGUGUUUCCAAGAUGGUGAGUGUCCGAAUGGUGAGAAAUGCUGCAGCAAUGGAUGUGGACAUCAGUGUAUGGCUGUAUCUAAAGUAAAGCCAGGAGUGUGUCCAA